ACGGAAGGCAGCAGUGAGGAAUAUUGGUCAAUGGACGCAAGUCUGAACCAGCCAUGCCGCGUGCAGGAAUAAGGCCCUAUGGGUCGUAAACUGCUUUUGUGGUGGAGCAAUAAGUCGUACGUGUACGGCGAUGAGAGUACAUCACGAAUAAGCAUCGGCUAACUCCGUGCCAGCAGCCGCGGUAAUACGGAGGAUGCAAGCGUUAUCCGGAUUUAUUGGGUUUAAAGGGUGCGUAGGCUGUGGUCCAAGUCAGGGGUGAAAGACCGGAGCUCAACUCCGGAACUGCCUUUGAUACUGGAUUGCUGGAAUACGGAUGCCGUGGGAGGAAUGAGUAGUGUAGCGGUGAAAUGCAUAGAUAUUACUCAGAACACCGAUUGCGAAGGCAUCUCACGAAUCCGUCAUUGACGCUGAGGCACGAAAGCGUGGGGAUCAAACAGGAUUAGAUACCCUGGUA
RNAcentral lists this ribosomal RNA (454 nucleotides) under uncultured Rikenellaceae bacterium. Its description in RNAcentral is "partial 16S ribosomal RNA". It matches the Rfam family "Bacterial small subunit ribosomal RNA", at positions 341 to 792 of the family's 1533-position model. The record is from RNAcentral. Lineage: Bacteria; Pseudomonadati; Bacteroidota; Bacteroidia; Bacteroidales; Rikenellaceae.